CCUACGGGAGGCAGCAGUGGGGAAUCUUGCGCAAUGGGCGAAAGCCUGACGCAGCCAUGCCGCGUGAAUGAUGAAGGUCUUAGGAUUGUAAAAUUCUUUCACCGGGGACGAUAAUGACGGUACCCGGAGAAGAAGCCCCGGCUAACUUCGUGCCAGCAGCCGCGGUAAUACGAAGGGGGCUAGCGUUGCUCGGAAUUACUGGGCGUAAAGGGAGCGUAGGCGGAUAGUUUAGUCAGAGGUGAAAGCCCAGGGCUCAACCUUGGAAUUGCCUUUGAUACUGGCUAUCUUGAGUAUGGGAGAGGUAUGCGGAACUCCGAGUGUAGAGGUGAAAUUCGUAGAUAUUCGGAAGAACACCAGUGGCGAAGGCGGCAUACUGGCCCAUUACUGACGCUGAGGCUCGAAAGCGUGGGGAGCAAACAGGAUUAGAUACCCUGGUAGUCCACGCUGUAAACGAUGAGUGCUAGUUGUCGGCGAUGCAUGCAUGUUCGGUGGUACGCGACGCGUAACGACG
This 511-nucleotide ribosomal RNA is filed under the name uncultured bacterium. RNAcentral's name for it is "bacterial SSU rRNA". It matches the Rfam family "Bacterial small subunit ribosomal RNA", at positions 338 to 866 of the family's 1533-position model. The record is from RNAcentral.